Molecule: ribosomal RNA, 450 nt
Filed under: uncultured Pseudomonas sp.
Lineage: Bacteria; Pseudomonadati; Pseudomonadota; Gammaproteobacteria; Pseudomonadales; Pseudomonadaceae
Description: bacterial SSU rRNA
Rfam family: Bacterial small subunit ribosomal RNA
Source: RNAcentral
UGGAGCAUGUGGUUUAAUUCGAAGCAACGCGAAGAACCUUACCAGGCCUUGACAUGCAGAGAACUUUCCAGAGAUGGAUUGGUGCCUUCGGGAACUCUGACACAGGUGCUGCACGGCUGUCGUCAGCUCGUGUCGUGAGAUGUUGGGUUAAGUCCCGUAACGAGCGCAACCCUUGUCCUUAGUUACCAGCACGUUAUGGUGGGCACUCUAAGGAGACUGCCGGUGACAAACCGGAGGAAGGUGGGGAUGACGUCAAGUCAUCAUGGCCCUUACGGCCUGGGCUACACACGUGCUACAAUGGUCGGUACAAAGGGUUGCCAAGCCGCGAGGUGGAGCUAAUCCCAUAAAACCGAUCGUAGUCCGGAUCGCAGUCUGCAACUCGACUGCGUGAAGUCGGAAUCGCUAGUAAUCGUGAAUCAGAAUGUCACGGUGAAUACGUUCCCGGGCCUU